RNAcentral lists this unclassified non-coding RNA (333 nucleotides) under soil metagenome. RNAcentral's name for it is "partial contains 5.8S ribosomal RNA, internal transcribed spacer 2, and large subunit ribosomal RNA". The stretch from base 1 to 120 matches the Rfam family "5.8S ribosomal RNA", at positions 35 to 154 of the family's 154-position model. The record is from RNAcentral.
GAUGAAGAACGUAGCGAAACGCGAUAGGUAAUGUGAAUUGCAGAAUUCCGUGAAUCAUCGAAUCUUUGAACGCACAUUGCGCCCCUCGGUAUUCCGUGGGGCAUGCCUGUUCGAGCGUCAUUUACCCCUCAAGCACUGCUUGGUGUUGGGCGUCUGUCCCGCUUCGCGCGCGGACUCGCCCCAAAGGUAUUGGCAGCGGUCGUGCCAGCUUCUCGCGCAGCACAUUGCGCUUCUCGAGGCGGUCGAUCGGCGUCCACGAAGCUCACCUCCACCGUUUGACCUCGGAUCAGGUAGGGAUACCCGCUGAACUUAAGCAUAUCAAUAAGCGGAGGA